This 31-nucleotide non-coding RNA is filed under the name Rattus norvegicus (Norway rat). The record is from RNAcentral. Lineage: Eukaryota; Metazoa; Chordata; Mammalia; Rodentia; Muridae.
CUCUUCAGAGAAGGAGAGUCAAAGGAACCAU